AGAGCGAACGCUGGCGGCGUGCUUAACACAUGCAAGUCGAACGCGCAGCAUUCUGUAGCAAUACAGGAUGUGGGCGCGUGGCGAACGGGUGCGUAACACGUGGAUAACCUUCCUUCAGGUGGGGAAUAACCCAGCGAAAGUUGGGCUAAUACCGCAUAAAAUUACGAGGGUACAUGCUCUUGUAUUCAAAGGCGCAAGUCGCCAGAAGAGGGAUCCGCGGCCGAUUAGCUUGUUGGCGAGGUAAUGGCUCACCAAGGCAAUGAUCGGUAGCCGGACUGAGAGGUUGGCCGGCCACACUGGAACUGAGACACGGUCCAGACUCCUACGGGAGGCAGCAGUGGGGAAUCUUGCGCAAUGGGGGAAACCCUGACGCAGCGACGCCGCGUGCGGGAUGAAGGCCUUCGGGUUGUAAACCGCUUUCAGCAGGGACGAAAUUGACGGUACCUGCAGAAGAAGGCCGGCCAACUACGUGCCAGCAGCCGC
RNAcentral lists this ribosomal RNA (483 nucleotides) under uncultured bacterium. RNAcentral's name for it is "SSU rRNA". It matches the Rfam family "Bacterial small subunit ribosomal RNA", at positions 26 to 518 of the family's 1533-position model. The record is from RNAcentral.